Molecule: long non-coding RNA, 6558 nt
Organism: Falco peregrinus (peregrine falcon)
Lineage: Eukaryota; Metazoa; Chordata; Aves; Falconiformes; Falconidae
Exons: 4
Source: RefSeq, a predicted model, not a curated record
UAAAAAAUAGAAGAAAGAUCUUGAAUACAGAAGAAACACUUAGAUAGAUACCCAAGCUUAAAGUACUUAAUCUGAAAACAAAUUAGAACCACAGAUGAACACAAUAAAUACCACGGCCCAGUUUUAUGAGGUUAGAAUUGCAAGAUGCUUUCUAGUUUGCACAUGGAAAAUUUUGCUCGUAUUUAGUCAUUUAAUCUCUCCAAAUAGCUGGGUUAUUAAAUAGUUUUGUAUAUGUUGUAUAUGAACUGAUUAAUUGGAAUGCACUGAUUCUUGUACUUUUUGCAGAAUGGUUUGUUUAGGUUUGGUUUUAGUUCUGGACCAGUAACUCAUUGUACACAUAGUGCUUCUCAGUUUGCUCCACAAUGGCUACUGUGGAUUCUGAUGAUCUGGUUUGGCUAACUCGAUGAACAUACUGUGGCGUGACAGACAGGAAGCUCACAGGUGGAUUGCUGGAUAUUUAUUUUGUUCCAAAAAGUUCUCUUAAGAUCCUGGGUCAAAGGUUACUGCAAGUCCCAUCAAUGGAUUGGGAGAUCGUAAACAUUUAUGGCACACCAGCGGAAAGAACAAGACCUACAAAGGGGAGUCAGAGGGAGAGAGAAAUGUUUGAACAGGGCAAGACUUAACGUGAGUGAUCUGUUGGGCCUUCGUUGCAACGUCUUCGGCAAAGAUGUAACAAAGUAAAUGCCCUUGGGUGCCCGUAACAGUAAACGUGAAGCCAGGGGAAAUAACAGGGAAGCAAACGUGAUUGGAUUCAUCUGGAUGAAUGAAUUAGAACAUGAUAAAUUCGGUGCAAUGAGAAGCUAUUUUAAAUAAGUUACCUACCAGCAACUGUGGAAAGACAUCUGUUGAACAGAACAGCCUAUACACCAAUUAGGAAAAAGCAUGAGUGUAAUUGGGGGCAAAUUAUGGGCUCCAGCAGCUCAGUGUGCAGCAGUAUAUGGAGGCAAACGAAAUGCUCAAUUACUUUAGAAAAGAGACAUGUAUAAAUCAAAUUCAAAACAAAAUAAGAGGUUCUGUUCCUGCACUAGGUAUUUGUUAGAUCCAGAGUGCAUCUUUGCUGACAGAGUUUAGUAAAGAACAUGUUGUCAAAUGUGCCCUUUGAUGAGCUGCAGGUCUCCCACUGAGGUUAAAAAGAGCCAGACUUCUGUACCUGAGAACAGGAGGUGCGCCGUGCAGGUCAGAGUGCCGACUUGGCAAAAAAUGGAGAACAUCCUGAAGAGAAGUAUUUUAUUGGACUGAAGUGCAAGGGCAUUGGCUAUAUUUUAAAUGAAAAUGAAGAGUCUGAGGUGACCCAGCAUUAAAUGUUCAAUGAAUGAGUUCUGUUUUUCAGGCUGUCUAGUAAUGAGUUGAGUUUUGACCAUGGGAAAAUAAGAGGCUCGUGGGAAUUGAUGCCAUUCUGUUCACACAGUGAGUAAUAAACCAGAAUAUCAGCAGUCAGACAAAGAGAGCGAAGUAAGUAACAUUGUAUUUGUCUCUUCAAGACCAUUUCUUUCUAGAGGAUAGCGGGGUUAAAGAGAAUUGUGGUUCAUUUUUGUUUGCAGAAGCAAUGCUGUUCCCUUAUCUCAUUAUUUCUUCGGUUGUUUAUGGUUGAUUAAUGACUGUGGAUCACUACACCUGAUUAAUUCCAGAAUUCUGAGAAUGUUCAUGGUUGAGCAAUUAAGCCUUCCAAGUAGAACUACAGAUGGGAACAGGGAUGUGAUGAAUGAUAGGUAAAAGAACAAACUAUGCAUAAAUGGUGGCAGCAGAUCUGAGGACCAUGUGGAGGCAGAAGAAAACAGCAUUAUGGGGAAAAGCAGGAAGCACGUGGUGAUAAAUGGGACUGGAAGUGAAUAUGGAAAAGCAAUUAGGGAUGUGGAGAGGAAACGGUUAGAUGAUGGAGAGGAAGAACAAAGCAGAACACAUUAAUGGAGGGGAGGUGUUCAAAGAAAUGUGAAGUCUUCAUGAGUGAGGAGGGAAGGGAGGACCUGGAGAUGGGGGGAGAGUGGAACAGAACACUGAGAAGACACAAUGAGUCUCUGUCAUGAGGGAAGGAUGAGGAGCACAGAGGACGGUACAAUGGAUGGGUAUGGGACAUGCCACCUGCAGGAUGGAGUGGAAGGCUACAAAUUUGGGAGCUUACGAGGGGAACAAAUGUCUGCAUUUGGUCUACAGAACCUGCAGUGUCCAGCACUUAGCUGUGUUCCCUGUUUGGUACGUUAUUUGUUUCAGUGAGUUGUCUUUGUACCUGGAACCUGGCACGUUUCUGUUUCUCUGAAUUUCUCACAGCAGUUCCUGGCCUAGAAGCUCCUUGUUCCACUUCAAGGCAGUUCUUUGGAAAGGACUUAAAAUUGUAACUAUUUGCAAAGUACAGCCAGAAGCUCAAAGACAGGAAAAAGUGUCCCAUGCAGAAGGCUUCUUGUUUUGCUAGAGGGUAUCUGGGAAGCUGACCAGCAGAUACACUUCGGGAUGCUCAGAUACCUCUGCGUUGUUGCAGAGGUCUUGCUGCAGGUCGGGGCUUUUAAGUACAUCAAAGGCUAUAAAGAAGUUGAGCAAGUCAGGUCGUCCUUCUUUGUUUUCUUCUGAGCACAUCCAGAAUUUUAUGUAUCCGAUGAUGUGAGACAGAUGCCGGGAGUGCCUUCCACCGAGUUUCUUGAUUGCAGGGCUCCGUAGGCCACGUGCACAGCUGCAGUGCAGUCUGUCCGUCCGCCCUUUCCCUGCUCCCGGAGUGCAAUGCCGGACGCACGCCUGGAUGAUGGCAGCUCAGGCCGAUGGAUCUAUGUCCAGUACCUGGAGAGAAGCUACAGUGUCACACAUCCGUUAGCUGCAAGCCCCAAAGGCAGCGGAUAAGGACGGAGGCCGAAAGAAUAAAUCAUUCGCAUGAGAUGAGACUUGACGGAUAUUUAAACUUCAGUUUUAACUUGUGACCAGUAUACGAGAUCCACACUUCAGAAAGUGGAAAGACACGAGGUGGGUUCCCAGCAUAUUGGAAGUUUUCAAAGAAUGAAACGGAUUGGCUUGGCUGACCUGAAGAACCUGAAUUAAUUCACUGGUUAGAGCAUUUGAACACUGCUGAUGCGGAACAGCACAGCCAGCAACGUAAAGGUGAUGCAGAUGCAUCAAGCAUCAGACCGAGACUGGAACUCUGAUGAAGCUGAGGAACCAUUUAGAAAUGUCUGUACUCGAAGCAGUAUUGAAUAUGUGCUACUGAUUUGCAUCCAAUAGAACUCAGACUUCAUGGUGUGUAGUCCCUUGUAUCCCUUCUUAAUCCACUGGGUGCAGAGCACAUGUUAAUGAUUACAUUAUUGUAAGAUGAUAUCACAUAAACCCCACAAAAUCUAAAUAAAUGAAGUGCCUUAUGGAAGAAAGUAUCCUCAUUGUUCCUGUUUUGCCCCUCUGAAGGAAUGGGCUGUGAGUUUUUUGGCUGGUCUGUGAGAAAUCUAGCACAGCCCAAGUGGGGCAACUGGUAUUUUCAAAGAAAAGUGUCUUUCUGACAGAUGUGUUCACGCUGUUUUUGGUUUAGUGUUUUGUUGUAGAUUACUGAUCAUGAUGCUACUGGUAUAAUUUUGCAGGAGUCAACCUAUUUCACCUUCUUUAGUAAGCUGCAACAAGAUAAAUUUUUUCCUACACAUUGUGAAAUCCAAAACAUUGUGAAAGUUUUGAGAGACCCAAUAGAUUUGCAACAAUAUUUUAUAUUAUGACUCAUAAUGAGAUAGUAUUGAAAUAGUAUUGGAGUCUACAUUUUCUCUAUGUAAUAGAAGAAAACCAAUUGAAGUGUAUUUCCCUUCAGCUUUGCAAUAUUACCAGCCUAAAGUUUUGAUAAUAACAAUGAGUGUGACAUUGUUAUUCAACACGCCAAAAGGAUGAUUUGCCUUUUGUCAAAAAUGGAAUAUUCUUACUCGCAUGACUGUAAAGCAAGCCAGCAUUCACAUACCUCACUACUAAUUGCCCCUACAUUGCAAAUAUGUCACUUUAAAUUGUUUAAUGUAUUAUAUUCUAAUAGUUUAAUCUCAAGGGACAGUUAACUAUUUAAUUAAUAUUUUUUUUGCCAGUGUCAUAAAAUGUUCUGCAGAAAUUGUCUGAAAAAUAUAUGGGAAAGGAGGAACAACAAAAAGGAAUUGCACUGAUGUAAAUGUACAGAGCCAAGAAACUGUAAUACUGCUAAAAGUCAAAUGAAUGGACAAAGAAAUGCUAUUUACAACAUAGCUGGCCAUCACAAUUACUCCAUUGAUUUAAAAAAAAUAAUUAGCCAAUUUCUUUCAAUAUUAGACCACAUUUAAAUUUUGCCAUUAUUUGAACUGUCUCUCUCCAAAUAUUUUAGCUUUCAGAAACAAUUACUAAACAAUGACUUUAUUGCUGGGUUUUCAUUUUGAAUCAAAGACCAGCCCAAAGUAGAGCACUGUAUUUGUCAUUCAGAAAGCGUUACAAAAACUUAGGUCAUUUUAAUCUUUGGAUAGGCAUGAACACUAAACCUGGAACAAUAAAGGGAAGCAUGUUCAGUUCAGUGUCUUUGGUGGUGGAAAAGUCUUCACCGCAAAUGCUUAGGCCUUCAAGUGUGAUACAGAGUAUAUUUUUAGUAGCCCUUCCAAGCAGGACUAUGCUUAUGACAUGUACCUUGAGGUAAAACUACACUUGAUCCAGAUAAAACAAUCAAGAUUGUAACAAAACUGUUACAUCCAUAAGAAUCAAUGGGUUUUCAGUAUCCCCCCAAAUGCCAAAGAGUUUACAAUGUAAUGAGGAAGUUGGAAUCGUGGUAACAGAGUGACGUUGUAGGUAAACAAGACAGUCAUUAUGUGCACUGUAACGUUCCAUAUGCGGCUGGACACUGGAAUUUCUUAGCAAGAUAAUGAAUAUUGCCAGAGUUAUCCAGUUACACUUUUGAAACUCACUCAGUAUCUCUAAUCUAGAAAGACCUGGGCAGAAGGGUCCUGGGGUUAACUCUUUGAUAUCGGUCUAUAUCUCAGUUUAAUCUAUUGUCCAGAUGAUUGCCCAGUUUAGGAUUGAAGAAUAUUGUCUGUGUGGCAAAUCACACCUCAUUUAGAAUAGAGUCCUGAAAACUUCCAUCAAGCAACCAGACUUCUAGAUUCUACUGACUAAGGGUAAUAUGCUUACAGGUCAACUGUCCUCAAAAUAAGGUGUCUUCUAAAUACUGAUCUUGAUAAUAGAUCAACGACAAUUUAUAGAUAAAUAGUUGAUUCUUCAAAACAGCUGUUAGUAAAGCUUUUCCACUAAAAAAUCCAAAUAAAGAAGAUGUUACUUACAGAUGACCAGCUGCUUAGCUGGUGGGCACAAGCCCGGUACUACUGAAAUCAGCAUUGCAUCCAUGCCUUGCCAUGCUACAGGAGUAGGUGCUUAAUUCUGUUCUAUAUUCCCCAGAUCCUCCUUCCAGUCACUAUUUUCUGCUUGUGAAAUCAGUUUUGUUCCUUCACCAUGGAACUGUUAUAUCAAUAGAGGUUGAUUUAAGUUAAGAAAUAGGAAACGUUUACUUAGACAUACCAUCUUCUUGCAAGUGACCUCUGUCUUAGAAGAUACAUGUGUGAAAUACUUUAAAAAUAAUUUCUGCUUUCCAGUUCAAUAAGCAGGUUUAAGUAAGUCUUUUCUAAAAAGUGACUUCAUUGAAAGAGAUGCAAGAUGGAAAGCCACAAUGCUCAAAAAUGCAUUUCCUCACUUUGUAAAACAAAGAUUCUCUUAACUGCAUCUGCAAACCAAAACUAGCAUCCAAAAGUUCAGUCAUGUUCUCUCCCAUUUGCAUGUCUCCACAUGUAAUAAGGAUUCGGCAGGCCAAACAGCGCCAUUAUUAUCUUCAAGUUUUGACUUUGCUGGUACCUGAGUGCAGGUAUAAAUGGGAGAUGUUGUAACUCAUCUGGAAAUACAUUAUCUUUCUGGUAGGUUACGUGAGCUAAAAUAAACUGUAGCUCAUUCUUACACAGCUGCAUAAACAGACUAAGAUUUAAUUGAAACCUGUCACUAUGGUGAGCAAGCCUCCUAUCCAUGGGCAUUGUAUCAUUUCAGUGAGAAGAUGCCAUUUUUUAAAAUGUCACUUUUCCACAAAGAGCAACACUUCAAUGCAAAAACUGCUGAGUUUUAAAGACUGAUUUUAUUGUUGUGAUCCAGAACUACAUGCAUGUGACAGUCCCCUCCAGAGAUUUAGCUAUAAUCUUUAGAUCACUUACCUAAGGUGUUGUAAUAUAAUCUGACACAAUGUUAAAAUAAGACUUUAGAUGUCAACAUCAUCGUUCCUGAAUGUCUAAUUGUGUUCAUUGUAUAUAAACCCCCAAAAUAUUAAAUAAAAAAAAAGCAUCAGUCAGCUUCAUGAGCAUCUCUGUGAUACUGAUAACUGAUUCAUAUAUUCAUCAAUAAAGGAGGAUUUUAUUGCAGUCAAUGGGAUGCCCUGUGCUAGGAAAAAUAAAGUUAGGUACACUGUUCAUAUUGAAUUUUUCUCCCCUCUAAAGCCAUCUCAUACACUUUUAAUACCAGAGCUUUUGUGAGAGAACUAUUUGGGUUCAGAUAACUUGAGAACUAAGUUGUGCAUGGAAAAUACAAAAUAUUACUUCAAAUGGCAGACAACAACUUUAAUGUGAA